Molecule: ribosomal RNA, 253 nt
Filed under: uncultured bacterium
Lineage: Bacteria
Description: partial 16S ribosomal RNA
Rfam family: Bacterial small subunit ribosomal RNA
Source: RNAcentral
UACGCAGGGUGCGAGCGUUGUCCGGAAUUAUUGGGCGUAAAGAGCUCGUAGGCGGUUUGUCGCGUCGACUGUGAAAACCUACAGCUUAACUGUGGGCUUGCAGUCGAUACGGGCAGACUUGAGUUCGGUAGGGGAGACUGGAAUUCCUGGUGUAGCGGUGAAAUGCGCAGAUAUCAGGAGGAACACCGGUGGCGAAGGCGGGUCUCUGGGCCGAUACUGACGCUGAGGAGCGAAAGCGUGGGGAGCGAACAGG